Molecule: ribosomal RNA, 282 nt
Filed under: Dorea longicatena
Lineage: Bacteria; Bacillati; Bacillota; Clostridia; Lachnospirales; Lachnospiraceae
Description: partial 16S ribosomal RNA
Rfam family: Bacterial small subunit ribosomal RNA
Source: RNAcentral
UACGUAGGGGGCAAGCGUUAUCCGGAUUUACUGGGUGUAAAGGGAGCGUAGACGGCACGGCAAGCCAGAUGUGAAAGCCCGGGGCUCAACCCCGGGACUGCAUUUGGAACUGCUGGGCUAGAGUGUCGGAGAGGCAAGUGGAAUUCCUAGUGUAGCGGUGAAAUGCGUAGAUAUUAGGAGGAACACCAGUGGCGAAGGCGGCUUGCUGGACGAUGACUGACGUUGAGGCUCGAAAGCGUGGGGAGCAAACAGGAUUAGAAACCCGGGUAGUCCGGCGACACU